AGUUUUCUGAUUGUAAAUUUCCGCAAGGAAAUAUGAUGGUCAGAACUUAACCCUAAGUAUUCGUUGGUUUUAGUUUUGCGGUUUACAGUUGUCCUUCUAGUUUACUAGGUAUUCAUUUGUCGAGCGCAGAUCUGCGACGCCGCGAGGUCGAGCUUUCUGCAUGAAACAGAGUUAUCGAAACGCUGGGAGGAUAGUCCAGAUGUCGAAAGAUGAUAAAACUGAUCUCUCCUAUGAGCCAUUUCGGUCAGAGCCUCAUGUGAGGACGCUCGUCAGGGUUAUCGGCUGGGCAUAAUACUCUGGUUACCUUAGGCUGCUUUUGUUGAUCCAGCCAUACAUUGAGGAUAUACAACGUUGGAAGGAUACGGACUCUUUUGAAGAAGCAGUCUUGUCUGUCAA
Non-coding RNA from Glarea lozoyensis ATCC 20868, 396 nucleotides. It matches the Rfam family "Ascomycota telomerase RNA", at positions 228 to 1188 of the family's 1858-position model. Lineage: Eukaryota; Fungi; Ascomycota; Leotiomycetes; Helotiales; Helotiaceae. The record is from Rfam.